Molecule: ribosomal RNA, 681 nt
Filed under: Triticum aestivum (bread wheat)
Lineage: Eukaryota; Viridiplantae; Streptophyta; Magnoliopsida; Poales; Poaceae
Description: partial small subunit ribosomal RNA
Source: RNAcentral
AUGCAACGGAACGCCACACCCUGCCGAGCACCAUGCCGGCAAGGAAUGGGGUGCAGUGCCAAAGACCGCCAACCACCAUGGUUGUCGGCCGCAGCCAAGCAACAGACGCACGACACACGCACCACACGCGCCGCCGCGGCCGCCGGAGACCAGAUUGACCAAACCCGCACCUUGAAUCAGCUCCUCCGAGUCGCCACGGGCCCUGAGCCGCGCCGACAACGCAACCCAGGCCUCUCCGCACCCGUAGCGAGCUCCACACCAGAACGGCAGGAGCACCACCCUGGCACCCACGCGACGCCAGAUCCGUGCGGCACCCGCAGCCACAGCGCCCCUCAUGGCCGAAUCGCGGCCCGCGCCAAGCCUGCGCGCUCGCACGCCUCGCCACCCCUUCAGCCGUUGGGACCCCUGCCCGCACAGCCUCGCCGCACGGACGCCGCCGUGCACGCCCACUCGCGCCAGAUCCACGCCUCACCGCCCUCCUGCAAGCGCGCUGCCUGCAGCCGCCGCGAGCCCGCCCUUGUGCCGCCCUCCUCCGCGCCUGCAAGCACCAGAACCAUGCCCGCGCGGAGCGCCUGCUCGCCAGAUCCUCCGGCGAGACCCCCCGAGAGAUGCCCCGCCGCCACCUUCCCUGGAGCCUGCCCGGGCUUCGCCGAAGAGCUCCUCAGGCGGCGACGAGGUUAG